This 253-nucleotide ribosomal RNA is filed under the name uncultured bacterium. RNAcentral describes it as "partial 16S ribosomal RNA". It matches the Rfam family "Bacterial small subunit ribosomal RNA", at positions 524 to 776 of the family's 1533-position model. The record is from RNAcentral.
UACGUAGGGACCAAGCGUUGUUCGGAUUUACUGGGCGUAAAGGGCGCGUAGGCGGCAUGACAAGUCACUUGUGAAAUCUCCGGGCUUAACUCGGAACGGCCAAGUGAUACUGUCAAGCUAGAGUGCAGAAAGGGCAAUCGGAAUUCUUGGUGUAGCGGUGAAAUGCGUAGAUAUCAAGAGGAACACCUGAGGCGAAGGCGGGUUGCUAGGCUGACACUGACGCUGAAGCGCGAAAACCAGGGGAGCAAACGGG